This 67-nucleotide transfer RNA is filed under the name Rasbora rutteni. RNAcentral's name for it is "tRNA-Cys". It matches the Rfam family "tRNA". From Rfam's summary of the family: Transfer RNA (tRNA) molecules are approximately 80 nucleotides in length. The record is from RNAcentral. Lineage: Eukaryota; Metazoa; Chordata; Actinopteri; Cypriniformes; Danionidae.
GGCCUUGUGGUGUUUUACAUGUUAGGUUGCAAACCUGAAGUUGUAGAUUAUAACUCUACCGGGGCUU